Triticum aestivum (bread wheat) is the source of this 130-nucleotide non-coding RNA. NCBI's taxonomy places the organism in Eukaryota, Viridiplantae, Streptophyta, Magnoliopsida, Poales, Poaceae. The record is from Rfam.
AUACUACUCCCUCCGUCCGGAAAUACUUGUCAUCAAAAUGGAUAAAAGGGGAUGUAUCUAGAACUAGUUCUAGAUACAUCCCCUUUUAUCCAUUUUGAUGACAAGUAUUUCCGGACGGAGGGAGUAGGUU